RNAcentral lists this ribosomal RNA (700 nucleotides) under uncultured bacterium. RNAcentral's name for it is "bacterial SSU rRNA". It matches the Rfam family "Bacterial small subunit ribosomal RNA", at positions 75 to 767 of the family's 1533-position model. The record is from RNAcentral.
GGAGCUUGCUCCAAAGUUAGUGGCGAACGGGUGAGUAACAUAUCGGAACAUGUCCGGAAGUGGGGGAUAACGUAGCGAAAGUUACGCUAAUACCGCAUAUGCCCUGAGGGGGAAAGGGGGGGAUCGCAAGACCUCUCGCUUUCGGAGUGGCCGAUAUCGGAUUAGCUAGUAGGUGAGGUAAAGGCUCACCUAGGCGACGAUCCGUAGCUGGUCUGAGAGGACGACCAGCCACACUGGAACUGAGACACGGUCCAGACUCCUACGGGAGGCAGCAGUGGGGAAUUUUGGACAAUGGGCGCAAGCCUGAUCCAGCCAUACCGCGUGAGUGAAGAAGGCCUUCGGGUUGUAAAGCUCUUUCAACCGGAAAGAAAUCGCGCUUCUUAAUGCGAAAUGUGGAUGACGGUACCGGAAGAAGAAGCACCGGCUAACUACGUGCCAGCAGCCGCGGUAAUACGUAGGGUGCGAGCGUUAAUCGGAAUUACUGGGCGUAAAGCGUGCGCAGGCGGCUUUUUAAGCCAGAUGUGAAAUCCCCAGGCUUAACCUGGGAACUGCAUUUGGAACUGGAAGGCUAGAGUGUAGCAGAGGGGGGUAGAAUUCCACGUGUAGCAGUUGAAAUGCGUAGAUAUGUGGAAGGAAUACCGAAUGGCGAAUGGAGCCCCCUGGGCUUAAUACCUGACGCACUUGCACGAAAGUAUGGGGA